Molecule: ribosomal RNA, 204 nt
Filed under: uncultured bacterium
Lineage: Bacteria
Description: partial 16S ribosomal RNA
Rfam family: Bacterial small subunit ribosomal RNA
Source: RNAcentral
UACAGAGGUCUCAAGCGUUGUUCGGAUUCAUUGGGCGUAAAGGGUGCGUAGGUGGCGCCGUAAGUCAGGUGUGAAAUUUCGGAGCUUAACUCCGAAACUGCAUUUGAUACUGCGGUGCUUGAGGACUGGAGAGGAGACUGGAAUUUACGGUGUAGCAGUGAAAUGCGUAGAGAUCGAUAAGGAAGACCAGUGGCGAAGGCGGGU